UAAGGAAUAUUGGACAAUGGUCGCAAGACUGAUCCAGCCAUGCCGCGUGAAGGAUGAAGGCCCUAUGGGUUGUAAACUUCUUUUGUACGGGAAAAAACCCCUCUACGUGUAGAGGGCUGAUUGUACCGUAAGAAUAAGGAUCGGCUAACUCCGUGCCAGCAGCCGCGGUAAUACGGAGGAUCCAAGCGUUAUCCGGAUUUAUUGGGUUUAAAGGGUGCGUAGGCGGAAUGAUAAGUCAGUGGUGAAAGCCCUUCGCUUAACGAAGGAACUGCCAUUGAUACUGUCAAUCUUGAGUACAUUUGAUGAGGGCGGAAUGUGUCAUGUAGCGGUGAAAUGCUUAGAUAUGACACAGAACACCGAUUGCGAAGGCAGCUCUCAAAACUGUAACUGACGCUGAGGCACGAAAGCGUGGGUAUCAAACAG
Molecule: ribosomal RNA, 423 nt
Filed under: uncultured bacterium
Lineage: Bacteria
Description: bacterial SSU rRNA
Rfam family: Bacterial small subunit ribosomal RNA
Source: RNAcentral